UCUUGAGUCUUCUGUGUUCCCUUCAUUCCUCAUCGUCAACAAUGCCCCUCUCCGUCUCCCUCUCCCUCUCCCUGAUUUUCUUAGAUCUACGAGGUUCUAGGAUUCGUCUUGGAUUUCCGUCUUCAUACCGGCAUGCUUCCUUCGACGAUCUACAAUUUGAUCAUGGAUACUAGGGCGUUCGGUAGGCGAUUCUAUUUUUGUUUUCGAUUUGAAGGUAUGUGCUUCAAGAAGCGUUUUCUGUUCGGCCCUGCCUUCAGAUCUGGAAGAGCCUGUCGCUGAUUCGACAGAUCUGUUGAGCGAUUGCGAUUCUUGAUCUAAUCGAUCGAGGUAGCACGGGGUGUCUUCGUCCAGGAAUCAUCUGGAAUCUAAGACGGUAUCUAUUUAUCCUGCUCUGCGGUUGUUGAUCUCCGUCAUAAACGGCAUCUAUAUUGGUCCGGCUGAUUGAAGAUAGUUCUUUCUCGUGGUUUGUGAAGAUGCUGAUGACGCUCGUUCUUCUCUGAAGGCUGUAGAAAUGGUUUGUUGGAUGUGUUUUUUGUUAGGAGAGUAUAUGAGUACGUGACUCAGUUUCUGCGAUGUUCUUGGUAUGCGACCACAUGCGAGGAAGGUAUAGUGUCUGGCUUGUGUAUGUGGCAGACUGGAGUAAAUUUGAGAUGCACUGUUUUCUUUGUUGUCAAGCGACCUUUGCCAUGUCAGGUGCGCUUGCAUGGCAGGUCAAAAAGUAAUAAAAUUUUCCUUUUUGUGUUUCGAGGGGAGAUGGCACGGGGUUUUGCCCGGCUCUCCCUUCGUCGUGUCUCGCAUCUCUUUUAUUUGUUGGUUCUUUUUGCUUCUUCCAUCUGAUUUAUAUCGGUCCAUUAGACGUCCUAGUUGCCUAAAUGGUUACUUCUAACCAUUACGAAAGGCAAAAAGGACGUCUAUGGUCUUAUGCGUUUGAUCGCCAGCAAAAGGAAGGAUGGGAUUAACUCCAAAGGAUAUCAUUGCAAGAGGUACACUAAUCUAUGCCUUAAACCUUUUGACAUCAAGUUUCAAAAUUGACCUUGUAUCCUCUUCUCUUAUUAAUAAUUUCAUUUAGCCUUACUACAAUAGAGCACAGGAUUGUUCCAAAUCCGGCAAUUGUUCUCAUAAUUUCGUUGAUAGCUAUUAUGUCAACUGGAAGUAUUCUAUACGCUAAAUAUUGGUCUUAAAAUAUUUUAACUGUUAAUUUCGGUAUAUACUUGCAAGAUGUCAUUGACCUUCCAAUAUCGUAAUAUUAAUUUGCCAUUUCUUCCACAUUGAAGAUUUUGUGUUAAGUCUUAUCUGAUACUCCUCCAUACUACAUAGCAUAGUUGUAUGCAGAUCUGGAAAUUAUUCUACGAGAUAUCUUCGAACGCCGUUCUGAUUACACAAAGAUUAAUUUGCUCAGUUAAUUAUUAAUCGUUGGACAGCUUGCAAUACAUCGUUAGUUUGUGAAAUUGUUUCAGUUUGCAUGUGACACGAUUUUGAAUGUGGUAUUACAUAGUUGAAAUUCCUAUCAAUUUCUACCCGGUACUACUGUAACUUCUACCUCGAAAGAUGAUAGUGCAGUUUCUGUAUUAUGUCCAUUUAUGAUAUUGGUGUUGUAGUUUGAUGUAUGUGACUAGCUUCAAGGAUCAUCUGGCCUAAUCUGAUUAGGCUGUUGGGGUUCGAGUUUGUUACUGGCGUUAUUGUGAAGGUUACAAGAUUCUGUGGACUGAUGGCUGUGGUGAAUCUGCCGGAGUGUUGCUGUUACGUCCGUCAAAGAAUUUAUUACCAUAGUUGGCGUGUUACUAUUGGCAACCCGAAGAAAUUACUAAAAAGACGGAACGGUGGAAUGUUUCCUCAUCAACCGAAGUAUUGGAGUCGAUCUAACAAGCUAUUAUAUAGCAUCUUUUGCUGAAGUUGGGAGGUAUCUUUUCUUGUUAAUGUUCUCGAAGUGUGCGUUAAUGUGUCAAUUCAGCACCCGGAUUGCAUUCUUGCGUCUCUAUCAAGUACAUGCUGUUUUGUAAUCGGUGGUGUUCUGCACUUUGUUUUAAGAGGUUUAAAGAAAGUAGUGCAUUAUACUUUGGGUUGGCUUGUGAAGGCUUUGUCUAAGCUGUCUAAGCCUUUUAACCCAAGAAUUAACCAGUUGGUAUUUUUUGGGGAAGUAUUCCUGUCUUUUUAAUAUGCUUUUCCUAAGACGUUUUGUAUGCCCUUGGGGAAGGCAUAUUGUAUGUUAUCGUAGUUGUAAUUGAUAUUUUCCUUUACAUUUAUUUUUAAACGCUAAUGGGGGGAUUAGUUUUACUGUGAAUAGGAAAUUGCCUGUUGAGCUCUAUUUUUUAUUUAUCAUGUUCCUAAAAAUUGAAAUUUUCUUGUCCUGUUUCAGCAGCGCCCUCCGGAUGAUUGUAUCACGGGUUUCUUAGGGGUUAAUAAGCUCCUGUUUGUCCUUAUUAGAGUUUAUAUUUGCUGCUUAUUAAAAGUAAAUUAUUUAUAACCGCAUGUUCUGCGAAGGGUUUUUAAGAGCUGAUGCCGCAAAACCAAAUUGGCUGGUUGCAAGUUAUUUUUCCUUAAACCAGUUUUAGUUGAUACUUGGUAUGUAGUGAGUUUGGCAAGUUUUCUGCGCAAACAAAUUAAUCUGUGCAAGAAGACGACAUUGUGUUUUACCAGCAGUGUAAGAAAAUGGCAGAUAUUGGAAGUAUUAAGCAUUUUUUGUUUUUUUUUUUUGAAAUGUAUUCAUUAAAUUUAACUAGUAAGAAGUGUUCGUAUUUUUAGUGUAUUCAUUAAAUUUAUUUAGUAAAAAGUUAUGUGGUUUUUUUCUUUCAUCUUUUUAAGUACAUUAAUCUUUUUUAAAGUAUAGGUGUAUCUUAGUUUUUACACAUUUAUGCAUUUUAAAAAUGUAAUAUAAUAAUAAUAUAAUAAAAUUUUGUAAUAUUUUUGUAGAUUUAUUUAAAUUAUUUUAUUUAUUGAUAUUUUUUAUUUUAAUAAUUAAUUUUUGUAAUUAUUUAUGAUUAUCUUCAGCCUAAUGGUGUACUUGUGAUGCCAAUAUAAUCUGGUUAAGAUGGUAUCAUUUUUUUGUUAGAACUGAUAAUUGCCUUUGUUUUUGGUCAGUCAAGUGAAUUCAGUCCACUUUUUAACAUUUUUGUAGGUGUUAUAGAAAGUUUUAACGUGUUUUAAUAUAUUUUAUUAAUAAAUGAAAAUUAUUAGAACAAUUGCAAGUACGGACAGUAAAUCUAAUUGGUUUGAAUGUAGAAAAGAUCCUCACCGCACUUAAAAUACAGUUUCUGCUAAAUUGUUUCAAGGGGGGCGGUGGUGGGUGGUAAUAUAUUAUUAAAUGCAAUUUUUUUGGAAAACAUCAUAAAUUCUGUUGUAAUUAUGUUAAUGUUUAAUCUGAUCAUGAUAUUGUUAGCUGCUUUGAGGGUUUUUGUGACAUUGUAAAGAUUUGGCAAUGCAUGGUUUGUUUUGGUUAUUGAUUGAUGUUUUUCUGGAAUAUUUGGGGGGGGAGGUUUUGUGCUCGUGGUUGUGGAUUCAUAAGCUCUAACUGGGAAGAGCGCCUGGGCACUUGAAAAUGUGUUUGGGAGGUUAGCGGUUCGAAUCCGCUUGAAUCCUUUUGUUUUAACGCCGUGCUUUGUAGUUAACAAAUCUGUCUUGUUUAUUUGGAGGGCCAUAAUUAAUUGAAAUUCAAACUCUUUAUUAUUGCAAAAAAAAGUAGCGGUAAUGUAGGUAAUUUACUUACUUUUAGGCAUGUAUAUCUUAGUAACAAAUCUUCCAGAAAUUGUAAGGAAGAAUGACAGUCUGUCUCGCCUUGUUGGGCUUCAUCACUCUCCAAGGUUAGUUUAAAGUAUUUUUGCAUUUUAAUUUAAUUUAACUUAAUUUGUUGUUUUAUUUAAAAUAUUGAAAAUAUGUUUAAUUAAUCUUAAAAUUUAACAUAUUAGUUAUAUUCAUUGCAGAAUAUAAACAUGCGAAGGUAUAUGUAUUUUUUAUAAUAGUUUUUAUUUUAAUAAUAUUAUUAUUAUUAAUACGAAGAAUAUUUUUUUAUUAAAAAAUAGAUUAAUUGAAUAUAAAUCCAUAAAAUUUAAUGAAAUUUUAUAUUUUAAGUUGUGACAUUAUAAACAAUAAAAUAAAAUAGAAAGAAAUUUUAAAUUUCAUUUCAAAUAGCGCAUGAUUGGCAUAGUUUUUUAUGCUAAAUGUUCUGUUCUGUUCUUUUUCUUUCCUCAAUUAUGUUAAAUAGUCUCGAUUUUCAUUUGAUCUUCUAUUUUUACUUUCAUCAGCAUUUGAUUCAGACACAUUUUUACUCUUUUUUUUUUAAAUUUCACCUACAUUUGAUGGAACAAUUUGUUAGAUAAAAAUAAAAAAAUAAUUAAAUUAUAAUUCAUUAAAAUAUGAUGCUUACAAUGAAUAUAUAUGCAGUGGCGGAGCCACGUUUUGGCUGGCUGGGUCAAGGCUUGAGCUGACUUUUUAAUUUUUUAUAUAUAUAUUUAUAAAUAAUUAUAAAUUUUAUAAUUUAACCAAAAUUAAAAUUAUAAUUUAGUCUGAAUUAAAAUUCUUUCUUGUCACAUGCCUCUUCAAAAUUGGGCAAUAUAUUCUUUUUCAUUUUUAUUGCACAAAUCACAUAAUCGUUUGUCUGGCAUGAAAAUUGCUUAUUUGAAAAAAAUAUUAUAACAUAUUUAAGUUUUGAGUCAAAUAUGAAAAUUCAUAUGUUGGAAAUGUGGCUGUUGAUGAGAGACAGAAAAUUCAUAUCCUCACCUUGAUAGUUAAGGCAGGCAUCUAUUAAAUUUUUUAAGAAUUUGCAACCGAAUAAAUCUCCAAGCUCUACAAAAUAAUGACUUCAAUAUUAUCAAAUGCUUGAUUACAUAUUAGAAAAGUAUCAAAUUUUGAUUAAGUUCAGUUUGAACCCGCUAUCAUUAUUAUUAUUAUUAAUGCUAAUUAUAUAUAUAUAUAGCUAAAAUUCAUACAUAUCUCGUUAAAACAAAAUUUUAGAUUUAUACUCUUUCUAAAUAAACUAAAUUUGUUAGAUACUUGUUAAAUUAUAAACUAAAUUAUCAUCAACAAUUUCAAAUCAAAAAUCAAUUUGAUCUAAUUCUUCCUUUUUCAAUUAUUUGGAACAAAAUAUAUAAAAACAUUUAAAAAACUAAUUUUUUGACUGAAUUCUUAAGUAAUAAAAUGCAAUUAGAAUAGUCAAAAAUUAAAUUUAAAAAAUAACUUAAAAUAAACAAACCCAAAACGAAAUCCAGAAUUUUCUCCCUAAAAAAGUCUACUAAAGCCGCCGGCCCAUGUUAGUCAAUUCACCGCCUCAUCUUAUCUUCGCCCGCGAACUUUCAGCCACCGAUAUUUACGCAACCUAGUUAAUCUCAGCCGUUGGAUCGGGCCUCCCUGCUAUUAAAUACCGCACAACCCCUUGGCUCUCUGUUCUCCAUUCGUUCCUCCAUCCUCAAUCUCUGUUUGCUUCUCCCUCAGAUCUAAUAGAGUCUGCGUCUCCUCGUUAAUAUCUUUUUUCAGAUCGGUAUAGAUCGUUCAACGAUCUACGAUUUGAUCAUGUGUUAUUGCGUUUUGAUUCAGCGGUCUGCCUUCCGCUGCGGAUCUGAAGGCUUGUGUUUCAAGAAUCGUUUUCUGCUCGGCGUUGCCUUCAGAUCCUGAGGACCUUGGCGCGGUUAGGGAAGAUCCGUUGACCUGCGUUGCUGAUCCGUUCUUGGGCGAUGCCUGGCACUUCUUGGAUUUUUGUGUUUGGAUCUUUUUCUGUCGCGUCAAGGCUGCUCAAAGCCGGCAGAUGCACAGGUUCUUUAAUCGAUCUCAUAGAUGGAGGAGGAGAGGUGGUUGUGCGCCGAUUACGCAAUGAAGUCCCUAGAAGUUGUUUAUUUGGUGCCUUCGAUUGUAACUCAAGUUUAUAACGACGCGAUUGAUAAUUUCUCAGAUAUUCUUGGUAUGGGUUCAAAUUCGAAAGGUAUAUGUUUGGCUUGUGCAUGUGGCAGGCUGGAAGAUAUUUUAGAUACUGAAUAUUUUAUCUGUUGUUACUCGACCGUUGCCAUGUCAGGUGCGCUUGCAUGGCCGGUCCAAAAAUAAUAAAAUUCUUAUUUUGUUUUUGGAGGGGAGAUGGUACGGGGUUUUGCCCGACUCUCCUCUCUGCGGGUGUCCCCUCUCUCUCUCUCUCUCUCUCUCUCUCUCUUGCUGCUUCGUUUUAUCUGCAUCAAACAGUUCGUUGGGUGGGCGUCCUGAUUGUGUAUGAUUUAUCUUUCAUGAUAAUCAAGGCAACUAGGACGUCCAUGCAACUGUCCAUUUUAUUGAUCCAGCAAUAGCGAGGAUAUCGGAUUAAGCACCACGGCUAUAUAUUGCAAGAGGUACAAGAAUCAUUGCUUUUACAGUAAUUUUCUAAUUUUCUUUAUCAAUUUAUCUAAUAUGUCGGCAGUAUUACAAAAUAUAAUAAUAAUAAUAUUAAUAUUAAAGAGCGAGCUAUCAUCUUACCAAAACAUAUUAUGAAAGUGCAGGUUUUAAUCCAAAUUUGAGAUGCAGGUUCCAAAGUAUUUAGAUUGUGUGGCCUUAAGUUAUGGAAAUUAAUUAAUGAUUUGCAAUAAGUUGGAAGCAUUCAAAGUUAAAUUAUCUGUUUAUGUUUUUUACCAAAUGGCUUUGAUUCAACUGGGUAACAAUUUAAGUUCCCUACAAUGUUUACAUAGUUAUGUUGUCACUGCAAAAGAUGUUUGAUUGUGCAGUUUUGUUACGUCAGUACUUCGGAACUUUUUUUGUAGCUAACGGGAUGGCGGUCGUUCUACGUCGUUUGUCUACUAGCUUCAAGUAUUCUUGUAAUAUGCUAUAGGCUGAGAAGUUAUUCAUACUAACCUGAGUUGUAAAGAGCACACAAUGCGGCAGAGUGAUCGCUACGGUGUGGCUGCUAAUCGGCGCUGCAAGUUAUCAGGAAGAUCUUGGGGUUGCUGCUGGAAGAUCCUGGGGUUUCUGCUGGCUCUGAUAUUGGUGAAUGGUUGUUGAAUAUCGAUAUGCUGCUGCUUUUGAUGGUGAACCAUGUUUUCCUGAAGGCACUUGAAGAGGAUAACGGUCUCGACUUGAUCAGUUCCUUUACUAGUUCAGUAUGAAGUUAUUAAAGGCAUUAGGGAAAAGUAUACGUGCAUCAUUUAAGAUUUAAUUAGUGUGUGGUCAUUUCAAUUCGUAUAAGUUGAGGUGGUUUUUCCUAUUUACAUGAAAUUUUUGUGAAGUGUAGGUGUUGUAAUUGAAAAAAUUGUCUUGAACUUAUUUUAUCGUUGAACUUAUUUUGUCCGUGGGGUUUCUUGUUUAGUGGGUUGUAAAAGUAACGUUUGGCGCUAAUUAGUGGGAUAGAUCGAUUUGUUAAGAAUUUGUUGUGGGUUGAUCACACGCCUGGUGGGGGGUGAUUAAUUUGAGACAACGGUUGGUGUGGUA
Molecule: long non-coding RNA, 7371 nt
Organism: Diospyros lotus (date-plum)
Lineage: Eukaryota; Viridiplantae; Streptophyta; Magnoliopsida; Ericales; Ebenaceae
Exons: 6
Source: RefSeq, a predicted model, not a curated record